RNAcentral lists this ribosomal RNA (210 nucleotides) under Bacteroides fragilis str. S13 L11. RNAcentral describes it as "partial 23S ribosomal RNA". It matches the Rfam family "Bacterial large subunit ribosomal RNA", at positions 2701 to 2925 of the family's 2925-position model. The record is from RNAcentral. Lineage: Bacteria; Pseudomonadati; Bacteroidota; Bacteroidia; Bacteroidales; Bacteroidaceae.
ACUGACCUCUGGUUUACCGGUUGUGCCGCCAGGUGCAUUGCCGGGUAUCUAAGUCGGGAUUGGAUAAGUGCUGAAAGCAUCUAAGUACGAAGCCAGCCACAAGAUUAGAUUUCUUUUUAGGGUCGUUGUAGACUACAACGUUGAUAGGACGCAGGUGUACAGGUGGUAACAUCACAGCCGAGCGUUACUAAUUGCCCGAUGACUUUCUUU